This 84-nucleotide transfer RNA is filed under the name archaeon. Its description in RNAcentral is "tRNA-Ser". It matches the Rfam family "tRNA". From Rfam's summary of the family: Transfer RNA (tRNA) molecules are approximately 80 nucleotides in length. Their secondary structure includes four short double-helical elements and three loops (D, anti-codon, and T loops). RNAcentral also lists the same sequence under 1 other name. The record is from RNAcentral.
GCAGAGGUGGCAGAGCGGUCUAUUGCGGCGGACUACUAAUCCGUUUCUCGAAAGAGAGCAGGGGUUCAAAUCCCUUCCUCUGCG